UACGGAGGAUGCGAGCGUUAUCCGGAUUUAUUGGGUUUAAAGGGUGCGUAGGCGGUCCGUUAAGUCAGCGGUAAAAUUGCGGGGCUCAACCCCGUCGAGCCGUUGAAACUGUCAGACUUGAGUUGGCGAGAAGUACGCGGAAUGCGCGGUGUAGCGGUGAAAUGCAUAGAUAUCGCGCAGAACCCCGAUUGCGAAGGCAGCAUGCCGGCUUCCUACUGACGCUGAAGCACGAAAGCGUGGGGAUCGAACAGG
This 252-nucleotide ribosomal RNA is filed under the name uncultured bacterium. RNAcentral describes it as "partial 16S ribosomal RNA". It matches the Rfam family "Bacterial small subunit ribosomal RNA", at positions 524 to 776 of the family's 1533-position model. The record is from RNAcentral.